AUGCCUCCUCUCCACAAGCUUCAUCGAAGAACCAAGCGGGGACCCCUCAUCUACGUCGUCUACCCCAGGCAGGGGAGCAUCAAUCCUCCUCGCGAGCAGCUCUGCCUUUCCCUGGAUAGCGCUGACUCCUCUAUUUCUUGCUGCAACCGCGAGAAUUUGACAGGGUUACUAAAAUGCGGUCUCUACCUUGUGUUGGACAAACUUGAACUCCAGUUCUACCGGAGAUUAGUGAAGAAAAUCCAUAUCAUCCAGAGGGAGAGGGAACCAUCUAAGGCGCAUCAAAUCAAGAUAGAGUUCUCUGCAACCAUUUUAGUCGAGUAG
RNAcentral lists this ribosomal RNA (321 nucleotides) under Triticum aestivum (bread wheat). RNAcentral describes it as "partial small subunit ribosomal RNA". The record is from RNAcentral. Lineage: Eukaryota; Viridiplantae; Streptophyta; Magnoliopsida; Poales; Poaceae.